Long non-coding RNA from Amphiprion ocellaris (clown anemonefish), 882 nucleotides. The record is from Ensembl. Lineage: Eukaryota; Metazoa; Chordata; Actinopteri; Pomacentridae.
GUCCCUCCCAGGAAGACACCAGCCGACGCCGCCUCCUGCUCCUCCUGCCUCGUCUUUGAGGGCCGUCCUGGGCAGCAGAUCGUCGGUCUCCUGCUCGCUGUGGACGUCGCCUCAUCAGCGCUCAUCUCUCAUUGAGCCAGCGGGUUAGCAGCAGCAGCCUCCACGGCAGCUGAGUGUGGGGGGUGAGAAACACACAUUUAGAUUCAGACAACGUGACUGCAUGCUACGAGAACCGCUACACGCCUGGACCCAGCAGCAGCAGCAGCAGCAGCAGCGCUGAUCCUGGAGAGAACCGGCUGCUGGAGCUUCCACAAACCAAGGUUUUGCACUGAAUAAACAGCCGGAAAUCCUGGAUUGAAGCACAAACACAUGGACGGACAGCUGAAAUAAUUCCUAAUUGGAGGUGAUGCUUUUCCUUUUCGGACGCUUGCAUAUCUAAAGUAGCAGCUAGUAACGGUGAAACCCCUGAGGUUUAACGGUGUGUGUGCAUACAGGUGAGCUAAGUGGACGUCUGCAGGGCGUCGGAUGAACAUGGGCGGGGCAGAGAGUUGGCAGAAAGUGGGCACUGCAGGGGUCCUACCCUUGGAUUACAGUUUAGCAGAUUAGAGCUAAGCAGCAGUCACCUUAAGCUCGGCAGCCUCAUGAAACCGGUGCCGGCGGCCAAUAGGGCGUGCCCAAACACAUCCACUCACAGGCUGACACAGCUGCAGCCACACAAUUAAAUUAGUGCAUCUGGCAGACGGUGUGUGAACCGAGCUUAACACACAUUCAAUCACAUGCACACACACACUCAUGCUGUGGGCUGCAGGACAGAUGCUUCCCCCACCCUUCCUCCCGACGUCCUCUCAAAGCCAGCUGGAGAGAAGAUGAGAUUUGGGGCUG